ACAGCGAAAGGUGCUUGCACCUUUCAAGUGAGUGGCGAACGGGUGAGUAACACGUGGACAACCUGCCUCAAGGCUGGGGAUAACAUUUGGAAACAGAUGCUAAUACCGAAUAAAACUUAGUGUCGCAUGACAAAAAGUUAAAAGGCGCUUCGGCGUCACCUAGAGAUGGAUCCGCGGUGCAUUAGUUAGUUGGUGGGGUAAAGGCCUACCAAGACAAUGAUGCAUAGCCGAGUUGAGAGACUGAUCGGCCACAUUGGGACUGAGACACGGCCCAAACUCCUACGGGAGGCUGCAGUAGGGAAUCUUCCACAAUGGGCGAAAGCCUGAUGGAGCAACGCCGCGUGUGUGAUGAAGGCUUUCGGGUCGUAAAGCACUGUUGUAUGGGAAGAACAGCUAGAAUAGGAAAUGAUUUUAGUUUGACGGUACCAUACCAGAAAGGGACGGCUAAAUACGUGCCAGCAGCCGCGGUAAUACGUAUGUCCCGAGCGUUAUCCGGAUUUAUUGGGCGUAAAGCGAGCGCAGACGGUUUAUUAAGUCUGAUGUGAAAGCCCGGAGCUCAACUCCGGAAUGGCAUUGGAAACUGGUUAACUUGAGUGCAGUAGAGGUAAGUGGAACUCCAUGUGUAGCGGUGGAAUGCGUAGAUAUAUGGAAGAACACCAGUGGCGAAGG
Molecule: ribosomal RNA, 669 nt
Filed under: Leuconostoc mesenteroides
Lineage: Bacteria; Bacillati; Bacillota; Bacilli; Lactobacillales; Lactobacillaceae
Description: bacterial SSU rRNA
Rfam family: Bacterial small subunit ribosomal RNA
Source: RNAcentral